UACAGAGUUAUCAUAAACUCCCAAAACCAUUGUGAACUUACUUAUGUUGCCUCGGCGGGAAAACCUACCCUGCAGCUACCCUGUAGGUACACUUACCCUGUACUUACCCUGUAGACUGCCGCGGGUGAUACCGCCGAAGGACUAUUUCAAACUCUUGUUUCAAUGUGAGAACUCUGAGUUAUUAUACUUAAUAAGUUAAAACUUUCAACAACGGAUCUCUUGGCUCUGGCAUCGAUGAAGAACGCAGCGAAAUGCGAUAAGUAAUGUGAAUUGCAGAAUUCAGUGAAUCAUCGAAUCUUUGAACGCACAUUGCGCCCAUUAGUAUUCUAGUGGGCAUGCCUGUUCGAGCGUCAUUUUCAACCCUCAAGCCUAUUUUAGCUUGGUGUUGGGAGAUUUAAACUCUGCUCUUCCGUAGCGGUCUAAACUCCUUAAAUAUAUUGGCGAAGUCGUGUCGACCUCAAGCGUAGUAAUUAUUUUUCUCGUUUCGAGUGCGUCGGUGCUGACGUUUGGCCGUUAAACCUUCUAAUUUCUAAUGGUUGACCUCGGAUCAGGUAGGAAUACCCGCUGAACUUAAGCAUAUCAAUAAGCGGAGGAAAAGAAACCAACAGGGAUUGCCUCAGUAACG
Molecule: ribosomal RNA, 625 nt
Filed under: fungal endophyte
Lineage: Eukaryota; Fungi
Description: eukaryotic LSU rRNA
Rfam family: 5.8S ribosomal RNA (bases 200-353)
Source: RNAcentral